Molecule: long non-coding RNA, 609 nt
Organism: Ochotona curzoniae (black-lipped pika)
Lineage: Eukaryota; Metazoa; Chordata; Mammalia; Lagomorpha; Ochotonidae
Exons: 3
Source: RefSeq, a predicted model, not a curated record
CAGUGGCUUCAGGAGUGAACAGUGGGUUACAUGGCCAUCACUAAAACUGAACAGGCAAAUGUGAAAUCAAGGGUAAAUAACAACCAAAGGUCUUAAAUAAAUAUUAUUAAGCUGGAUUCAAUGCAAAAUCAAUGGUGACAGCUCAUCUGUGAUCAAACUGUACUUAUUCUUUACAAUUGCCUUUCCCCAAGGAGGAACUUGAACUUGGCCUAACUGGCUUCAUUACUGACUUUGCAGAACACCACCUAGGGAAGUGCUGAGAGGUGAGACAGUGUGAUUACAACUCACCCAGAUCCAGUUCAGGACCAACAGCACCCUGGAACAGUGGGUUCCUAACCAUGGGCUGCCAUCUAAAGUCACCUAAGAUGCUUUCAGCCGAGAAAUGUUUGACAUUUCCUGGUGAUUCCAGUGCAUUACCACAGACUCUCAAAAGAAGCCACUGGCUGCCAGCUGAAUGACAGCAAGACUCACAGUGGAGAUGAACAAACAAUGGGGGGGGGCAGAAAGACAAUGACAAGGCAGGUGCCUGGACUGCAGCCCCAGAGUCCCCUCACUCCACUCAUGCUGCAGAUUUCUCCUCUGCCUCCUGGAUAUCUGAGCCAGCUUCCU